GUCUAUGGCCAUGCCACCCUGAACAAGCCCGAUUCUAUCUGAUCUCGAAAGCUAAGCAGGGUCAGGUCUGGUUAGUACUUGGAUGGGAGACCACCUAGGAAGACCAGGUGCUGUAAGCA
This 119-nucleotide ribosomal RNA is filed under the name Pteropus alecto (black flying fox). The record is from RNAcentral. Lineage: Eukaryota; Metazoa; Chordata; Mammalia; Chiroptera; Pteropodidae.